This 547-nucleotide ribosomal RNA is filed under the name Verruconis gallopava. RNAcentral describes it as "eukaryotic LSU rRNA". It matches the Rfam family "Eukaryotic large subunit ribosomal RNA", at positions 50 to 600 of the family's 3401-position model. The record is from RNAcentral. Lineage: Eukaryota; Fungi; Ascomycota; Dothideomycetes; Venturiales; Sympoventuriaceae.
GCGGAGGAAAAGAAACCAACUGGGAUUGCCUCAGUAACGGCGAGUGAAGCGGCAACAGCUCAAAUUUGAAAUCUGGCGCCUUGGGCGUCCGAGUUGUAAUUUGUAGAGGGAGUCUCGGGUUAAGGGUCGGUCCAAGUGCCUUGGAACAGGAUACCGAAGAGGGUGAGAGUCCCGUAUCCGGCCGACGCCAGCGCCCGUGUGAGGCCCCUUCGACGAGUCGAGUUGUUUGGGAAUGCAGCUCUAAAUGGGUGGUAAAUUCCAUCUAAAGCUAAAUACUGGCCAGAGACCGAUAGCGCACAAGUAGAGUGAUCGAAAGAUGAAAAGCACUUUGAAAAGAGAGUCAAACAGUACGUGAAAUUGUUGAAAGGGAAGCGUAUGUGGGCAGACUUGGACGCUGGAUUCAGGCCGCCUUCUGGCGGGUGUAUUUUCCAGCGGACAGGCCAGCAUCGGUUCUGAGGGCCGGACAAAGACGAAGGGAAUGUGGCUCCUCUCUGGGGAGUGUUAUAGCCCGGCGUGCAAUGCGGCCACUUGGGACCGAGGACCGCGC